GAUAAACGCUGGCGGCGCACGUAAGACAUGCAAGUUGAACGGACUUAAUCGAAAUAUUUAUAUUUUGAAGCGGUUAGUGGCGGACUGGUGAGUAACGCGUAAGGAACCUGCCUAUUAGAGGGGAAUAACAGUGAGAAAUCAUUGCUAAUACCGCAUAUGCCAUAGAUAUCACAUGAUAACAGUGGGAAAGGAGCAAUCCGCUAAUAGAUGGCCUUGCGUCUGAUUAGAUAGUUGGUGGGGUAACGGCCUACCAAGUCGACGAUCAGUAGCCGGACUGAGAGGUUGAACGGCCACAUUGGGACUGAGAUACGGCCCAGACUCCUACGGGAGGCAGCAGUCGGGAAUAUUGCGCAAUGGAGGAAACUCUGACGCAGUGACGCCGCGUAUAGGAAGAAGGUUUUCGGAUUGUAAACUAUUGUCGUUAGGGAAGAGAAAGGACAGUACCUAAGGAGGAAGCUCCGGCUAACUACGUG
Molecule: ribosomal RNA, 473 nt
Filed under: uncultured bacterium
Lineage: Bacteria
Description: partial 16S ribosomal RNA
Rfam family: Bacterial small subunit ribosomal RNA
Source: RNAcentral